This 77-nucleotide transfer RNA is filed under the name Candidatus Uhrbacteria bacterium CG_4_9_14_3_um_filter_36_7. Its description in RNAcentral is "tRNA-Val". It matches the Rfam family "tRNA". Rfam says of the family: Transfer RNA (tRNA) molecules are approximately 80 nucleotides in length. Lineage: Bacteria; Candidatus Uhriibacteriota. The record is from RNAcentral.
GGGCGCUUAGCUCAGUUGGUUAGAGCGUCUGCUUUACACGCAGAAGGUCGCGGGUUCGAACCCUGCAGCGCCCACCA